CAGUAGCCGCGGUAAUACGAAGGGUGCAAGCGUUAAUCGGAAUUACUGGGCGUAAAGCGUGCGUAGGUGGUGGUUUAAGUCCGUUGUGAAAGCCCUGGGCUCAACCUGGGAAUUGCAGUGGAUACUGGGUCACUAGAGUGUGGUAGAGGAUGGUGGAAUUCCCGGUGUAGCGGUGAAACGCGUAGAGAUCGGGAGGAACAUCAGUGGCGAAGGCGGCCAUCUGGGACAACACUGACGCUGAGGCACGAAAGCGUGGGGAGCAAACAGGAUUAGAUACCCCCGUAGUCCCUGUCUCUUAUAC
This 301-nucleotide ribosomal RNA is filed under the name uncultured bacterium. Its description in RNAcentral is "partial 16S ribosomal RNA". It matches the Rfam family "Bacterial small subunit ribosomal RNA", at positions 509 to 807 of the family's 1533-position model. The record is from RNAcentral.